This 117-nucleotide ribosomal RNA is filed under the name Amphilophus citrinellus (Midas cichlid). Lineage: Eukaryota; Metazoa; Chordata; Actinopteri; Cichliformes; Cichlidae. The record is from RNAcentral.
GUAUGGCCAUACCACCCUGAACCUGACCAAUUUCGUCUGAUCUCGGAAGCUAAGCAGGUUCAGGCCUGGUUAGUACUUGGAUGGGUGACCACCUGGGGAUACCAGGUACUGUAAGCU